This 494-nucleotide ribosomal RNA is filed under the name uncultured bacterium. RNAcentral describes it as "partial 16S ribosomal RNA". It matches the Rfam family "Bacterial small subunit ribosomal RNA", at positions 28 to 507 of the family's 1533-position model. The record is from RNAcentral.
GACGAACGCUGGCGGCGUGCCUAAUACAUGCAAGUAGAACGCUGAAGGAGGAGCUUGCUUCUCUGGAUGAGUUGCGAACGGGUGAGAACGCGUAGGUAACCUGCCUGGUAGCGGGGGAUAACUAUUGGAAACGAUAGCUAAUACCGCAUAAGAGUAGAUGUUGCAUGACAUUUGCUUAAAAGGUGCAAUUGCAUCACUACCAGAUGGACCUGCGUUGUAUUAGCUAGUUGGUGGGGUAACGGCUCACCAAGGCGACGAUACAUAGCCGACCUGAGAGGGUGAUCGGCCACACUGGGACUGAGACACGGCCCAGACUCCUACGGGAGGCAGCAGUAGGGAAUCUUCGGCAAUGGACGGAAGUCUGACCGAGCAACGCCGCGUGAGUGAAGAAGGUUUUCGGAUCGUAAAGCUCUGUUGUAAGAGAAGAACGAGUGUGAGAGUGGAAAGUUCACACUGUGACGGUAUCUUACCAGAAAGGGACGGCUAACUACGUG